GUAGGUGGCAAGCGUUGUCCGGAAUUAUUGGGCGUAAAGCGCGCGCAGGCGGUUCUUUAAGUCUGAUGUGAAAGCCCACGGCUCAACCGUGGAGGGUCAUUGGAAACUGGAGAACUUGAGUACAGGAGAGGAAAGCGGAAUUCCACGUGUAGCGGUGAAAUGCGUAGGGAUGUGGAGGAACACCAGUGGCGAAGGCGGCUUUCUGGUCUGUAACUGACGCUGAGGCGCGAAAGCGUGGGGAGCAAACAGGGAUUAGAUACCCUGGUAGUCCACGCCGUAAACGAUGAGUGCUAAGUGUUAGGGGGUUUCCGCCCCCUUAGUGCUGCAGCUAACGCAUUAAGCACUCCGCCUGGGGAGUACGGCCGCAAGGCUG
Molecule: ribosomal RNA, 373 nt
Filed under: uncultured organism
Description: partial 16S ribosomal RNA
Rfam family: Bacterial small subunit ribosomal RNA
Source: RNAcentral